Molecule: ribosomal RNA, 274 nt
Filed under: uncultured bacterium
Lineage: Bacteria
Description: partial 16S ribosomal RNA
Rfam family: Bacterial small subunit ribosomal RNA
Source: RNAcentral
AGACAGAGGGUGCAAACGUUGCUCGGAAUCACUGGGCAUAAAGCGCGCGUAGGCGGCCAGGUCAGUGCGAUGUGAAAGCCCCCGGCUCAACCGGGGAACUGCAUCGCAUACUGCCUGGCUAGAGCACGAGAGGGGAGAGUGGAACUCCUGGUGGAGCGGUGGAAUGCGUAGAUAUCAGGAGGAACGCCGAAGGUGAAGACAACUCUCUGGUUCGUUGCUGACGCUGAGGUGCGAAAGCCAGGGGAGCGAACGGGAUUAGAAACCCUAGUAGUCC